This 245-nucleotide ribosomal RNA is filed under the name uncultured bacterium. RNAcentral's name for it is "partial 16S ribosomal RNA". It matches the Rfam family "Bacterial small subunit ribosomal RNA", at positions 524 to 768 of the family's 1533-position model. The record is from RNAcentral.
GACGGAGGAGGCUAGCGUUGUUCGGAAUUACUGGGCGUAAAGCGCGCGCGGGCGGCCAAGCAAGUCAGGGGUGAAAGCCCGGGGCUCAACCUCGGAACUGCCUUUGAGACUGUUUGGCUGGAGACCGGGAGAGGAGAGUGGAAUUCCCAGUGUAGAGGUGAAAUUCGUAGAUAUUGGGAAGAACACCAGUGGCGAAGGCGGCUCUCUGGCCCGGACCUGACGCUGAGGCGCGAAAGCGUGGGGAG